GAUGAACGCUGGCGGCGUGCUUAACACAUGCAAGUCGAGCGAAAAUAAUUGAGAGCUUGCUUUUGGUUAUUUUAGCGGCGGACGGGUGAGUAACGUGUGGGCAACCUGCCUUUUACUGGGGAAUAAUCGUUGGAAACGACGACUAAUACCGCAUACGGUUCUUAGAAGGCAUCUUCUGAGAAAGAAAGGAGUAAUUCGGUAAAAGAUGGGCCCGCAUCUGAUUAGCUAGUUGGUGAGAUAACAGCCCACCAAGGCGACGAUCAGUAGCCGACCUGAGAGGGUGGCCGGCCACAUUGGGACUGAGACACGGCCCAA
RNAcentral lists this ribosomal RNA (315 nucleotides) under uncultured bacterium. Its description in RNAcentral is "bacterial SSU rRNA". It matches the Rfam family "Bacterial small subunit ribosomal RNA", at positions 28 to 334 of the family's 1533-position model. The record is from RNAcentral.